AAAAAAAUGGGCUUGGGUUCUGGUCUUUGGGGGUUUUUUCCUUUCAUUUUUGUUCUCUCACUACCAAUUAUUUCAAAGCCAUAGGGCUCAGAAUGCCACUUAGUAGGACUUGUCUUUGCUUUUACGGUCACCUAGUUUAUUGCUUCUGUAUCGGUCACGCCAGCGGCGGAGCUUUGCCCACAAAAAAAGUGGCGGCGGGGCAGGCUGCGUGCAGGCAGCUGGCGUUCGGACUGUCACAGCCCAUCAGCGUUCGCCCGGCACCUGCGGCCACGCGCGCUCGGCCCAGAGGAGCUGCUAAACAGGUGACACCUCGUGCAGCCAUGGUGGGGAAUGUCACCGCAAACGCCCCGGCCCAGAGGUGGCUCCAUCCCGGUGGCACCAUCCUGGAGCGCCCGGCUAAAAAUAACCCAUCCCUGGCCAGGGUCCGAGAGCGCAGCGGCGAUGGGGUUGGUGGUGAUGGCGGUUGCGAAUAAACGGAGGAAAAAAACCCACAAAGCCAACCAACAUCAACCCAAGAAAACCUCGCCCAAGCGGGCUGGGGGAGGAUGCGAGGGGGAGGGCGGUCUCUGGAGCAUCUUCUCCUUGUUCUUGGGUGCGCUGGCGGGUUCUGACUAGCAUGAAAAUUCGUAGCGACAAGCUGUGUCGCACAGGGGGAAAUCGAUCAGACACACACAAGGAGAACCCAGUGUAGAUUCGGGACAGCAAUCCAACUUCAUUUCUCAGAUCAAUCGUCCGCCAUCUCAGCGGCAGUGACAGCAAGCUGGGAGAGGAGGGCAGCCUGGAAAAGUAGGCUGUGAGCGCUGAGUGGGUGGUGGCAGUGGUGUCUGGGGUGGCACAGAGGAGGGGGCAGCUGCCCUGGACAUGGGGAUGCUGAUGGUUGAGAUAGGGUGGUCUUGAACUGGUCAGAGAGGUGAUGAUCCUCUGGGUGGGAUGGUGGUCCUGCAGCCGAGACCCCAGCACGGUGCCGUCACCAGCCAGUCCCAUCACUCUCCAGUGCGCUGGGCCAUUUGUCACCUGGCGUGUGACCAUCUUGCGGGACGGCCACCACCAGUAUGCAGAGAGGGCACAAGGAGAGGGGUGCCCUGGGACAGGGGGCUCUGCUCCCCUCUCCUGCAGGCGCUGGGGCUUAGUGGGCGGCUUGACGUCAGGAGGCAGAGGCAGGGAGGAUUUGUGAAGUAAUGUAAUUGAACAUGUGCAGAUAAUUAUGUCUCAUUACAUAAGCCCCUUGCAAAAACAGCACUUGGAAAUGCCACAUGAAAGAGCCUAUCGUUCUGCAUUAAUUUCUCCGUGUGCUGAAUUUAUUCCCUUUCUGGCUUUUUAAUACUUGGAGAGUAAAUGAAUCGCAGGCUGAUCAUGAUAAGAGAUGAUACUUUUGUAUAAAUUAAAAUACCCCCAAGGAAAGAGGCUGAGCUGAUUACAGUUGCAGUUGGCUUGGAAAAUAACAGUGGGCUGGGUCAAGCCAAAAUCUGAGGGGGAGAGUUGCUGCCAGGGAUUUUGAGGCAGGGAGGGGGUGAUUGGGGAGAGAAGAAGGAAAAGAGAGCGAAAACUCAAAAGCUGAAUAGGACAAGGAGAGCUGUGCUGGUGUUUCUGGCUGUGGUUCUCUGUAGAAGAACCAAUGUUCCCGUGAAUAGCAAUCAGAGCUGGUAAACUGAGAGUAGCAGGGGCUUGGCAGUUCCCUCUGUGUGUCCCAAACAGGGACCUGGCAUGUUUGGCAUCUGAUGUCUUCUCAGGCUGGUUUUCAGGGAGGGCAAGAGCCCAAACUGGCCCAUAUUGGAUGUUGUCAAAAGAGGGGCAGGUUGGCAAAGGGACUGCACUGUGUGGGUGACUCAAUUCCCCAUAAAGCUGUGGUAGGCAUGGGAAAUGAGGCAGGGAGUCCAGAGCUGAGCAGACCAUUUAGGAAGCAUCUUCUGGAUUGCCUGUUUGUUUCCCCUGUAUCCCAGCCAGUGUGCUCCAGCCUGAUUGUCACUUAAUGUCUUCCCAUUCGGUGAGGUCCCUUGAUGGAUCCCAGUUUGUCCACCCUGAGGUGCUGCUGCCCUUUUGGAAGCAUUGGUGCUGGGGAAGUCCUCAGUGCAGGCAGGGUGACUGUCUCCAACAGGCAGGGCUUCCCUGCCUUUCCCUGAACCCUUUCAUGCCGAGGAGGGGCAGCAGAAUGCGGAGCAGAGCUGAUUGUGACAUGGAAAGCUGCCGUCCCCACAUCACCCGAGCAUCCUCGCGAGCUGCUGGAAGGAGAUGAGCCGAAACCUAGUCAAGAGCCCUGUCACAACGAUGUCUGCACGGGGCUGAGGUGAAGCCAUCCCUGGAGCCCGUCAGCACCAGGAAGUCAGCGGCAGGUUGCCCAGCUCCACUGCUGGAAACCUUGGCAGGGCAGACAACGCUCGGGGUUUGCCUUCCUUGAUGGAGGAUGAAUUUUUAAACACGUGUAAGUUGUGACAGCUGAGAAGAGGGAUCUACCCAAAGCCCAGUUCCCUGCGAGGCUCUGCUGCUGUGGCUGACAGGCUGCUCUGCCAGGAAGGAAGGGCUGGAGUCGGUUCUGCAUCGUUAGCAGGAUAAUGGGCAAUGUCCCAGCCAUCGCCAGCGCUGCGACCCGCAGCUGAGGCAGGGGGAGAGCAGAGCCUUCUCCUCCACAGGUGGGGACUGCACUGGUCCCAGCAAGGGAUGAGGACGCUCUGACAGUGGAGGGAUGGUGGAGAGGAGCUGUCCUGUGGAUACCCAGCCUUGGGUCACACUGAGAAGAAGCAGGGACCUCCUCUCCUUUCAGGAGGUUUGGGGUGUGAGCCCUUCUGGCAAACUUGGAGGCUGUAGGUUUUUGCACCAUGAGGUGAGACUUGUUAAGUGUCUGGGCUGUCUGGGCAGUAUUUAUUCAUGAGGGGUCCAUAUGUGUAUCCAGGAGAAAAUCCCAAAACCAGGGAUUUCAAAGCAUUUAGGAAAGCCCAGGUUCUUUUGGGUUCCAGUAGAAGUUGGAUAUUUAUUGCCACAGACCUCUAGAGGGUCCUACCCCAAAACAUCACCUUUCCUGCCACUGGCCUAUGACUGUAAAUCUCCCAAGUGUUCUCCUUCCCCCAUAUGCUAAUGAAUGAGUGAACUGUAGUCAUCUUAAAGCCCUUUCAGAAAUUUGGGUUUGGACUUAAUUUAAUUUACAGAUGAUUUAAACAUGUGAAAUUACGAGUUGUUCUUAAGUUCAUCAGAAAGUGAAGGUUUUGAUUUAAAACUGACAUCUGAAGAGGUGUCCUGGAGACCACUGCUCUGUCUUUGGCAUCUGCCCCUCCUGAAGAAGUCACAGCCAUGUGCAGGGGCUCUGCAAGGAGGAGCAGCCUCCUCAAAAGAUUCCAUUGUCUUUGAGGGAGAUCCCGACUGAUUUACUACAGUCAAACCCCAGGGGAUCUCCUUGCUUGGAAGAGGUAGAGCCAUCUGGGUGGAACUGGAUGAAUCCCACAUGUGGCUUGGUCCAUGCAGCGGUGGAGUGAACUCCAGGAUGAGUGGGGAUGGGGCCUGCAUGCCCUCUGCCUGGGGAAGGAUCCAACCUCCUCAUGGAGGACUUUUCCGUACCAAAGGAUGGUGUGAAGGUGUCACAGCCAACCUUGGGUGCUCCUUUCUACCACUUGACCCACAACUUACCAGGCCACACUGGCUUCUCCCCAACAUUCCCUCGACUUCCCACUGGAUGCCACCAAGGUUGUAUUCAGCCACACAAAUUCCUGAAGCACGGGAGGGCUCAUUCCCAGUGCGCAGUACCUUCCAAGGAUUUUGGGUGCUGAACGUGAAGCCGCCGCUCGGUCGCUUCUGCGGCUGGCAGGCAAAAGCCUCGCUAAAAAUAGUUGAGCACAAUAGGGCCAGAGCCCUGCUCCACAUGGCCCCCACCACUCUCCCCCCUCCUGCUCGCCGUAACGACCCUGCAAACACUAAAUGGCAUCUGAGUGCAUUAAGCAGCAAACUCUCCGGUGACAUAGCAAUUACGGCUCUGAAAUAGAUUUGGUGCGUCACGGAAGAUAAGGGUUUUGAAAGUUUCUGUUGUGAUUAUAGCUUGUAACUCCAACAAAUAACAGGCUUGGUAAUAAGAGGCUGCCAGCACAGCUAUUGUGGUUCUCUCUCACUGAUGGCACGUAAAUUGCUAUUAAUGUCCUAAGUGUACUUGAAUAUGCCAGUCUCGGGGCGGCGGAGUUGGCUCUGUGUCUCUCUUUACGCGGCCUGUCAUUGUCGGGCUGAUAAUCUACGGUAAUUGCUGCCUCUUGCAGCAGUCCAAGAUGUGUAAGGGUGGAUAUUGCCUCUUGGGGAGCGCAGGGAUGGGGGGUCAGGGCCUGGCUGUGGGUGGGAGCUGGUGGGGGCAGUGGGAAUGGGGCACACGGGGCUGGUGAUGCUCCUGCAUCGUCUGGAGCAGAGUGGGGUUUACUGGCCUGUGAGCCAGCUGAGGUUGUGAUUCCUGCUUUCCUUGCUGUUGCCUGAACCCCUCUGCUGCCUUGCACAUAUAGCAGAGCACACGGGCACAGCAAGGGGUGUGCACACACCUCUGGUCUUGUUUGCUCUGUGUGUGUCCCGCUGUGAGGUGGUGUGUCUCCUCAAAUGUGGGUUCUCGUGCCUGUCAGCUCUUUGCUCCCAGCCCAGCAGCCUCUCAGACAGGCAGGAGCUGGGCAGCAGCACCUCGGUGAUGCCCUAAGGAGCUGGAACAGAGGUUAGAUGGAGUUAAGAGGAAUAAAGUGGAUAUUUAUUAAAGUGCCUUCAAAGGCCACACCCUGGCAGUACUGGCGCCACAGUCAUGGCCAAGAUGGAAACAAAAGAGAGCUUGGUCACAAGAUCUCACAUUUUUAUAAGUUUUAGUCCAUUUGCAUACAGGAGUUAACUAUCCAAUUAAUAGCUUCAAGUUAUGAAGUUUCAUCCUCCUUGCUUGCUUGCCCUCCCUCCUCUUCUCACGUUGAUUAUGCUUUGGGCCUGAAGUUUGAAGAGAUUGUCCUUCAGUCUCCAGCUAGAACAGGAAUGUUUUGUCUUCACCACCCUGUGAAAAAGAUCCCAGUAACACUUAACAUAAAGCUAAAAGCUGCACACCAAAGCAGAACAGAAAAACUUAAAACCUCAGGUAUCCUUGGGGUGGGGAGUUUUCCUACCCUCAGCCCUCUGGGGUGUGCAGGGUCCCAGCUGGCCCUGGAUGAUGCAGCAGGCAGUGGGACAGGCAGCCAGAGUGGGCAAAGCAGCCCGGGCGUGUCUAAAGCGGGACAGCGCCUGCUGCCAACUGGAGCCUGGGCAGAGCUUGGGAAGGAUUAAUUUGCCAAGCACUGAAUCAAUGUCAGAGCAAGCAGAGGAGGUUGGGUGUGACAUCUGCUCCUCUCCGAAGGGGAUGGCAGCGGCAGAGGAGCAGCUUCUGUGCGCUGCCGGCUCCUGCCCGCGGCAGCCGGGGCCCUCCAGUAGCUCAGCUCUGGAGUGCCUGGAGGAUUUGGCUCUGCAUCUGUUUUUAGGAGAAGAAACAAGUUGUCUGCCAUGGUUUGCUGCAUGAACCCUCAGAUGGGAUAUAGUGUUGGCACCUCUGUCGAGCUGUGGCUCGGUUUCCCUCGAUGAGGCGGGGAUGUGGAGCUUUUCCGGGGAACACGGCACAGCUCAGCAGUUCCAUGGGACCUAUUGCUUGUUCUGCAUAUUCAUAGCACUUGGGUUCAGGUAACAUUCAGGCUGCUGAUUCUGAAGUGUUUGUUAUUUUAUUUCUUCCAUAUGAGGAAGAGUUAUAAUCAGGAAGAGUUAUGAUCAGGUUAAAAAACCCCAAACAACCAGAGCUCAGGGUUCUGGAGAAAUAUGUUGGGUUUUUUUAGGGAUGGACUUUCCGUGAGCGCUUGCACUUUAUCAAAA
This is a non-coding RNA of Taeniopygia guttata (zebra finch), 5826 nucleotides long. NCBI's taxonomy places the organism in Eukaryota, Metazoa, Chordata, Aves, Passeriformes, Estrildidae. The record is from RefSeq and is a predicted model, not a curated record.